GAAAUAGAUAUAUAGAUGGGAAAAGAUAACUAGAUAUAGCAAUAGAUAAUUAGAAAUAGAAAAAGAUUAAUAUUGGAAAAGAUAGUGAUAGCGAAUGUUCAAUAUUUUUGUAUACAAACACUAUAGAUUUCUCUAUGUAGUGUUUGCAUGUUAACUGGGUUAGGAGGGGGCAGGCAUAGACACCGAGCUGUCAGUCAGCUUGCAAAUGCGCAUACAGCACACGUGCGGUAGAGAGCUCAGUUUUUUCAUGGAGCGACAUUCAAUGCUGCUCUAUGAAGAAAAUGAUUGGUGCAGCACAAAGCAAGGCAUGUACACCAGAGAGCAAUGAUGCUUCUCAAAGAAAAGCAUCCUAUUUGGCCCUGUGAUUUCCUCAUUUCUACUAAAAAACCGGCAUGGCCUGAGUAGGAGCUCGGCAGGAAGUUUUAAUGCUAAAAAGGGCUAAAAAUAAAAUGCACAAUUAUAUAAAAAGGUCCUGAAUUUCUGUGCCAGACACAUGGAAGGUUAUUCCCAAAACCUUUAAAAUCAAAUAUUUCUAUGGAAAGUGUCAGCGCAAUGAGAGAUUCCCCUAAAUGUUAUACACAAGGGGAGUCUGUUUCAAAAGGACUGUUUUUGUGCAGAGUUUACUUUCCACCUCCAGUGGCGGAUAUGAGAUCUGGGGUGGUCUUAAUGUGUUGUCCUUGUUGUAACCAGGUUGUGUGAUACUUUGUAUUCAAAGUGAAUUGUUACAUUCUUG
Non-coding RNA from Pelobates cultripes (western spadefoot toad), 733 nucleotides. NCBI's taxonomy places the organism in Eukaryota, Metazoa, Chordata, Amphibia, Anura, Pelobatidae. The record is from the annotation of a GenBank genome assembly.